AACGCACAUUGCGCCCCCUGGUAUUCCGGGGGGCAUGCCUGUCCGAGCGUCAUUGCUGCCCUCAAGCACGGCUUGUGUGUUGGGCUCCGCCCCCCGGCUCCCGGGGGGCGGGCCCGAAAGGCAGCGGCGGCACCGCGUCCGGUCCUCGAGCGUAUGGGGCUUCGUCACCCGCUCUGUAGGCCCGGCCGGCGCCCGCCGGCGACCCCAAUCAAUCUAUCCAGGUUGACCUCGGAUCAGGUAGGGAUACCCGCUGAACUUAA
This 260-nucleotide unclassified non-coding RNA is filed under the name uncultured Eurotiales. RNAcentral's name for it is "sequence contains 5.8S rRNA gene, ITS2, 28S rRNA gene". The stretch from base 1 to 52 matches the Rfam family "5.8S ribosomal RNA", at positions 103 to 154 of the family's 154-position model. The record is from RNAcentral. Lineage: Eukaryota; Fungi; Ascomycota; Eurotiomycetes; Eurotiales.